Molecule: ribosomal RNA, 1073 nt
Filed under: uncultured bacterium
Lineage: Bacteria
Description: bacterial SSU rRNA
Rfam family: Bacterial small subunit ribosomal RNA (bases 134-1073)
Source: RNAcentral
CUAGUCCUAGGGUCACGUGAGAUUCGCAUGCAGUGACGACCUGGUAUGAAGUCGAUCGAGCUGUGAGAGACAGUGAAGUAGUACUGACGACUACGAGAGCUAUCGUCACAGCGGUAUCUAGUCUGCGUGUCGAUAUGCGUAGCGGCAGCGUUAGAUAGUCGAGUAGGCUGUGCUACCAUAGUACGCUUGAACUGUUACUUGAGUCCAGAGAGAUUGAAUUCCAUGUGUAGCGGUGAAUGCGUAGAUAUAUGAAGAACCCGGUGCGAAGCGCUCUCUGCUGUAACUGACGCUGAGCUCGAAAGCGUGGAGAGCAAACAGGAUUAGAUACCCUGUUAGUCACGCUGUAAACGAUGAGUGCUAGGUGUUAGACCCUUUCCGGGGUUUAGUGCGUAGCCAACGCAUUAAGCACUCCCCCUUGGGGAGUACGACCGCAAGGUUGAAACUCAAAGGAAUUGACGGGGGCCCGCACAAGCGGUGGAGCAUGUGUUUAAUUCGAAGCAACGCGAAGAACCUUACCAGGUCUUGACAUCCCUCUGACCGCUCUAGAGAUAGGGUUUUCUUUCGGGACAGAGGUGACAGGUGGUGCAUGGUUGUCGUCAGCUCGUGUCGUGAGAUGUUGGGUUAAGUCCCGCAACGAGCGCAACCCCUAUUGUUAGUUGCCAUCAUUUAGUUGGGCACUCUAGCGAGACUGCCGGUAAUAAACCGGAGGAAGGUGGGGAUGACGUCAAAUCAUCAUGCCCCUUAUGACCUGGGCUACACACGUGCUACAAUGGCUGGUACAACGAGUCGCAAGCCGGUGACGGCAAGCUAAUCUCUUAAAGCCAGUCUCAGUUCGGAUUGUAGGCUGCAACUCGCCUACAUGAAGUCGGAAUCGCUAGUAAUCGCGGAUCAGCACGCCGCGGUGAAUACGUUCCCGGGCCUUGUACACACCGCCCGUCACACCACGAGAGUUUGUAACACCCGAAGUCGGUGAGGUAACCGUAAGGAGCCAGCCGCCUAAGGUGGGAUAGAUGAUUGGGGUGAAGUCGUAACAAGGUAGCCGUAUCGGAAGGUGCGGUUGGAUCACCUCCUUC